CCUCAGCAGUGGAGCAUGUUAUUUAAUUCGAUUAUCCCCGAUAAUUUUACCAUAUUUUGAAUAAUAUAAUUAAUUUAUUUAAUUAUUAUUACAGGUGUUACAUUGUUGUCUUUAGUUCGUGUCGUAAGAUUUCAGAUUUAUUUCACUAACGAACGAAACUCCAUAUAUAUACAUUAUAUUAUAUAUAUUAUUAUAUUUAAAUUUAUAAAUUUAAUAAAAAGGAAUUAAGACAAAUCAUAAUGACCCUCAUAAUCAUGGGCUAUAGACGUGCUAUAUUAAAAUAUGAUAACAAAAUUAUAUAAAAUUUUAUUCAUUUAAUUUAAUUAAUAAUACAAAACAUAUUUAGACAUUCAUAAUUUUUAUUAUGAUAAUGUUAUAUGAAUUAUAAUCUGAAAUUCGAUUAUAUGAAAAAAGAAUUGCUAGUAAUGCGUAAAAUAUCAUGUUACGGUGAAUAUUACUUCUGUUUCGUACUAAUUACUCAUCACGUAUUGAAAUAAACUAGGAUCAUAAUAUAUUAAUAUUAUAUAUAAAUUUUUUAUUUUUAUAAAUAUUUUUAUUUAUAUUUAUUAAUAUCCCUGAACGACGUUAGA
This 590-nucleotide ribosomal RNA is filed under the name Hanseniaspora vineae. RNAcentral's name for it is "partial small subunit ribosomal RNA". The stretch from base 12 to 273 matches the Rfam family "Bacterial small subunit ribosomal RNA", at positions 935 to 1227 of the family's 1533-position model. The record is from RNAcentral. Lineage: Eukaryota; Fungi; Ascomycota; Saccharomycetes; Saccharomycodales; Saccharomycodaceae.